CAAUUGAUUUUUUUUUUGCAAUUCCAAACAAAUGAAGCAAACAACUAACUCGAGUGAAAUUACAACAAACUAAAACAACAAAUUUCAACAACUAGGUGCUGAAAUUCUAAUACAAUUACAAACUCAAGUAAACCAAAAUAAAAAUAACACUUAGCUCUUCAACUUUCCCAGCAAACAAACAUCUCAAACACAAUAACGAGAAACUACAAUAAACAAAUUAUAACUACCCUUAAAAACAAACUCAAAUACAGGUAAACCAAAACAAAAAUUACAUUUAUCUCUUCAACUUUUCCAGCAAACAAAAUCUCAAACACAAAAACGACAAACUACAACAAACAAAUUACGACUAUCCUUACAAACUGAUAAGGAAAAAGAGUAAACUCCAAGUAUCUGCCCAAAAACAAGUAUGUCGGUUCUAACAUUUGCAUGAGUUGAAAUAACCAUAAAUUGAAAAAGUUUAGCAUUAUUUCUUUGUGUACAUUAACAUGACAAUGCUUGAGGCUGUUUUCAAUAUUGUGCAGAGAACAACAAAAUUGUUCUCUUUAUGUGUCUGUUUUUCUUGAUUUUGUCGCUUUUUUUUCUAAUUUAAAUUUUUUAUAUCCGUUGUUCUAUGCCAAGUUGUGCAUAUGUUACAUUUAACUGCUAUUGGUUCUCUUCUGAUUUGAAUUAGAACGUAAAAGAGUCUUGACCGUAUAUAAAUUGAUAUGCUCACUUUUGUUUAUUUGUUGUAGAUUUCAAACGUAAAAAAUAAGGUAAAUAAACACGUAUUCAAUAUAAUCUUUUGUCUUUAACUAGUUAAAAUUUUCUUUCUUUGUUAUUAUGAAGAUCUUUAGACAAAAAGUUAAAGAGAGUCCAAUUAUAUAUGAUCUAUGUUUUUGUUCUCUUUUGUGAGUAACACUGCUGGAGAAAUGUUGGGUUAUGAGAUAGUCGCGGAACAAAAGGACUACCGAAGGUUAUUAUCAAUCCUGGGGAGCACUUUUAAGGUAAAUACAGAUGUGUUUUUAUCUUUUUAGGUAGCUAAAAUUUUUUACAUUUUGUUAGCGUGUAACUCUUUAGGCAAAAAGUUUAAGAUGGUCCAGGCGUGUCACUUGUGUUUUUUUUUUCUUUUUGAUACCAUUGUUUUAAAUGCGGAUUAUGAGGUAUUUGAUGAAUAAGAGGUUUCUCUUCCUUUUUUAUCAUAUUUUUCUUUUUUAUAUUGUUUUUUUAUUAGCUUAAUUAUUUUAAAUUUUUUUUGAUGGAGUUGGAGAGAGUUACAACGCUAACUAUUUCUACAUCAUCUAUCACAUUAAAUUUUAAAAAAAAAUUCAGACGAAGCUCAACUCCAUCUACUGCAUGGUCAUUUUAGUGGAAAAGAAGGUAUGUGGUUCGAUUUGAUAGCAAAUACUGGUGAUGGUGGGAACUCGUCUUCAUCGGUUGCAGUGGCAUUUGGUCAGCAGUCUCUUUUGAUUCUUCAGUGUUUCUAAUGAGGUUGCAUUUACUGAAAUGGUACUCAGGACAUUGGAGCUGGUCGAUACAGUGGUUAGGUACUAAGAGCUACUGUGUUUUGUGAGGUAUCUCUUUCUUCUUGUCUUUCACAUUAUAUUUAUUGAGUUUUGGUAUACUUGACUUGUUUCUCGCGUCGCUGGCAAGAGGACGGAGGUCCUGACCAUUCUUCAAAAUUGUGCUGUAAGUGAUAAAAAUUCAAAUUUUAUUUUAAUGAUUUUGCAUAUUUACUGGUUGUAGCAAAUCUGCGAAUA
Molecule: non-coding RNA, 1736 nt
Organism: Carica papaya (papaya)
Lineage: Eukaryota; Viridiplantae; Streptophyta; Magnoliopsida; Brassicales; Caricaceae
Source: RefSeq, a predicted model, not a curated record